AUGAGGGCAGCUGAGGCCACUGAAUCUCAGGAGAUCAAUAGUGUUAGUAGCUGUUCAUCUAAUUAUGGAUUAUUUGGGUCGGACUCUUUUCUCGUAGCUGGGUGUGACUUCAUUGACUUAAAAGAGGUUAGUUCAUUCAGUUCAUAGGGGUUAUAGCAUGAGUGAAUCAUUCCCCUCAUAAUUGUUAUCCUAUUAACCAUUAGGAUAGCCUAAUAUUUUUUAUUAUAUAGCAGACAUUCUCAUUUUUAGGACUUUUAAAAAUAAAUGAUUAAGCAUAUUUUAAUGAUAUUAAAUGAAUGGCUUGGGGCUAUGUAUAUUAUUAAUCCAUUUGUAUUAGGUAUGUACAUUACUAACAAAGCUCAGGGUGAAAAUAUUUAGGCAGUAAAAUACUGUUAUGAACGCUUCCUUUGGAACAUAUCUCUAUGAAUUCUACAAAGGUAUAUAUGAAAAACAUGCUGUUAUAGUGCAUAAUCAUCUAUGCGUUAAUACAUUAAACUGGCCAUAAACAUGAGACAUGAUGAUGUAGGAUUUAUUACAUAUUUUAAAUUUUCAUUGCUUAAGAGAUUGCAAAAUACUCUGUCUACCUGAAUUACAAAAGAGCCUAUAAGUCCACUUAGUCAUUUGGAAUUUUCCACACUUUUUUUCUUGCACAAGCAUUUUCAUGAUCUGCCUAUUGUUGCAUCUUGAUUCUUAUCAACUGUCAGCCCUACAGAAUGCAUACAGUGUGUUUGGGCAUUAAUGUAGCACCCACUAAAACUCAUAUAGUCCUGCCUUAGAAUGAACAAGGCUUGGUAUAUAUGUUGGGGUACAACUAAUCAGGGCAGUCAGUUUGCUUUUUUGUUGUUCCAAAAUCCUGUUCACGAAACUGGAAAGGAUCUGUCCAAGACAUCACAUAAGGAAAGUGAUUUAAGCCAAUUUAUACCAUCAUGUAAAUCGUUAGCAAAAGGGAUUCCCAGAACGUUAUGUUCUAGUUUAAUAGAUACCUAUGUUCUGUGAGAGGAGGGCAAUGAGUUUGUGAAGGGAAGAGCAUUCCCUGGAAAAUGAAGAGCCUGGGUGAGCUUUGGAAUUUUGGAACUAAUAAUAUUAUUCUGUAUUUUUCUAUUUCAUUUCUUGAGAAUCUCACGAUGGAGAGGAGCAUAUGACACCUCUGACAAGGCUAAUCCGAAGUUAUGAGUAUUAAUUUCCUGACCUCCAACACUGGUCACCUGGUAAAGUUGGCUCUGAUGCAGCUGUAUCGGAGAAAAAUCCGCUUUUGAUGAGAGUCCAGCAUCCAUGCCGUUUGGCGGAGAACAGAGCACCGCAGGUGUUACUGAGCCGCUCUGGAGUGUUUAUCUGAGCUCACGGGACUGCACAGUGACAAGCUCUAUGCCUUGUAGGCAGGUGGUACCACCCGAUAAAGUGUAGAGUCACGUAAUACUUCCUCACUGCAACGCUGACCUGGCCAUGGAAAUGUAUUCUGUCCCCGUUACAGACUGCAGCAGAGAAAGGCAGCUGGAGAGUUAACAGCCUUUCUUUGGCAGGAAACCUGCUGCUACGAAUGAUAACACGGGACACACACGGCGAAUGGGUUCGUUAUUUUUUUCACUUAAAUCUGAGCAAAUAGAGGGCUGAUGAGCGAAACCAGAUGUGCAGGCAUCAGCGCUCGCUUCGUGCACAGCAGCGAUGCAGGAGUCGGUGUCCCGUACUCCACUGUGUCAAUGUGUCGUGCCCUUCCUCCCAAGGUGACACUGUUCGGUGGCAGCGCUCAGCCCCCAUGGGCUUUUCAGUCGUAGGUCUGCUUUCAUGUGGAAGCAGACAAAUACUGCCAGUGGCGUGGUGAUUUUGGAACUGGACUGAUACUGCCAAAUCGUUCUGCAUAGCUCACCUGCCGAGGCCAGGCAGCAGGUCGUUAGCAGUGAACUUGCAGUCACCGUUGGACUGGGUCAGACGUGAAAUGGUGAUAGAAGAAGGAGAAGCUCCGUACUCCAAAACCAGGCCCUGAACCAGCCAGUCAUUUAGAGAACAAUUUUUAUAUUGCUUAUUGGGUGCUGUACUAUCCAAUCUCAUUACUCAGGACAUCUUCAGUGUAAGGACAUUUUCUAGGCACUGAACUGUUGCUAAAUACUUUUGCUAUAUUGUGUUUUAUAAUAAUGAUCAGCAUCACAGCAACAGAAAUGUCUUACUAAGAAAGCUCAGGAAAUCUGAGUAUUUAAACAUCAUAAAAUAGCAGGGCCAAACGUUUAUGCUCAUGGGCAACUAUAUGCAUAUGACUUCAUCAAUAGUAAUAUUCAUGUGAGUAAAGAUAUACACAUAAGUAUUUACAGAGUUGGGUUACCGGAGGAAAUCUAAGAACAUUUAUUUAUUAUAGUUCGAAUGGGAGUAAAAUGGUCCUGCUGAUAGAAACAAUAUAAUCUGAUAUCCAAAUAAUAAAAUGACUGGCCAGAUAACAAGAUAGAUGUACUCUUUUCUCAUGCCCAUUUCUGAUGCCAAUAGCUGAUUUCAUCUCUCAGAUCCAUAUGGAACUUUCCUGUAGCUCCAAGAGGGACAGCUGAGGUCACCACGACUAACUAACAGAGCUGGGAAUACUACAGUAGUUUUUACAGCGGGAGUAUUUCCUCAUCCAAUUCUGGGUAAAGGUAAGGAGCAGCCUUGUGAAACAAAGCACACUGUUGCUCGUGAGCGACGGCUCGGAUCCCUGUUCCAACUGGAAGAAAAUGGGUUAAGUGCUGGGGCCCC
Long non-coding RNA from Dromaius novaehollandiae (emu), 2715 nucleotides. RefSeq lists it as uncharacterized. The transcript has 3 exons. The record is from RefSeq and is a predicted model, not a curated record. NCBI's taxonomy places the organism in Eukaryota, Metazoa, Chordata, Aves, Casuariiformes, Dromaiidae.